AUAUACGACCGUACCGCAAACCGACACUGGUGCGCGAGAUGAGUAUUCUAAGGCGCUUGAGAGAACUCAGGAGAAGGAGCUCGGCAAAUUGACACCGUAACUUCGGAAGAAGGUGUGCCCUAUUAGUGUGUAGUGAACAACGAAGCAUGAAUGGGUUGCAAAAAAUCGGUGGCUGCGACUGUUUAUUAAAAACACAGCACUCUGCAAACACGAAAGUGUACGUAUAGGGUGUGACGCCUGCCCGGUGCUGGAAGAUUAAAUGAUGGGGUGCAAGCUCUUGAUUGAAGUCCCAGUAAACGGCGGCCGUAACAAUAACGGUCCUAAGGUAGCGAAAUUCCUUGUCGGGUAAGUUCCGACCUGCACGAAUGGCGUAACGAUGGCCACACUGUCUCCUCCUGAGACUCAGCGAAGUUGAAAUGUUUGCGAUGAUGCAAUCACCCCGCGGAAAGACGGAAAGACCCCAUGAACCUUUACUGUAGCUUUGUAUUGGACUUUGAACAGAUCUGUGUAGGAUAGGUGGGAGGCUUUGAAGCAGGGUCGCUAGAUCUUGUGGAGCCAACGUUGAAAUACCACCCUGGUGUGUUUGAGGUUCUAACCUAGGUUCAUUAUCUGGAUCGGGGACAGUGCAUGGUAGGCAGUUUGACUGGGGCGGUCUCCUCCCAAAGCGUAACGGAGGAGUUCGAAGGUACGCUAGUUACGGUCGGACAUCGUGACGAUAGUGCAAUGGCAUAAGCGUGCUUAACUGCGAGACUGACAAGUCGAGCAGAUGCGAAAGCAGGACAUAGUGAUCCGGUGGUUCUGUAUGGAAGGGCCAUCGCUCAACGGAUAAAAGGUACUCUGGGGAUAACAGGCUGAUACCGCCCAAGAGUUCAUAUCGACGGCGGUGUUUGGCACCUCGAUGUCGGCUCAUCUCAUCCUGGGGCUGUAGCCGGUCCCAAGGGUAUGGCUGUUCGCCAUUUAAAGAGGUACGUGAGCUGGGUUUAAAACGUCGUGAGACAGUUUGGUCCCUAUCUUCCGUGGGCGCUGCAGAUUUGAGGAAGCCUGCUCCUAGUACGAGAGGACCGGAGUGGACACACCUCUGGUGUAUCGGUUGUCACGCCAGUGGCAUUGCCGAGUAGCUAAGUGUGGAAGAGAUAACCGCUGAAAGCAUCUAAGCGGGAAACUCGUUUCAAGAUGAGAUCUGCCGGGGCCUUGAGCCCCCUAAAGAGUCGUUCAAGACCAGGACGUUGAUAGGUCAGGUGUGGAAGUG
RNAcentral lists this ribosomal RNA (1249 nucleotides) under metagenome. RNAcentral's name for it is "bacterial LSU rRNA". It matches the Rfam family "Bacterial large subunit ribosomal RNA", at positions 1634 to 2875 of the family's 2925-position model. The record is from RNAcentral.